GAAUAGAAACUAGUUUCUAGGCGGCGGACGGGUGAGUAACGCGUGAGUAACCUGCCUAUCACUGGGGAAUAACGCAUCGAAAGGUGUGCUAAUACCGCAUGAGACCACAAUGUCGCAUGACGAAGGGGUCAAAGAUUUAUUGGUGAUAGAUGGGCUCGCGUCUGAUUAGCUAGUUGGUGAGGUAACGGCCCACCAAGGCGACGAUCAGUAGCCGACCUGAGAGGUUGAACGGCCACAUUGGGACUGAGACACGGCCCAGACUCCUACGGGAGGCAGCAGUGGGGGAUAUUGCACAAUGGGGGAAACCCUGAUGCAGCAACGCCGCGUGAGGGAAGAAGGUUUUCGGAUUGUAAACCUCUGUUUUUAGUCAAGAAAAAAAUGACGGUAGCUAAAGAGGAAGCCACGGCUAACUACGUG
Molecule: ribosomal RNA, 417 nt
Filed under: uncultured bacterium
Lineage: Bacteria
Description: bacterial SSU rRNA
Rfam family: Bacterial small subunit ribosomal RNA
Source: RNAcentral